This 344-nucleotide long non-coding RNA is filed under the name Androctonus crassicauda. Lineage: Eukaryota; Metazoa; Arthropoda; Arachnida; Scorpiones; Buthidae. The record is from RNAcentral.
GUUAUAGCGAAAAAAUGAAAUAUUGAAAUUUUUAAAAAACCUGCAUGGAGUUUCGGACAAUAUAUUGUGAAAAUAUUGAGGAAUACAAAGGGUUAAAUUGUCUUUGCUAUUUUGGAGAUAUUGAAAUAAGCCAUAUUUUUCCUCUCCAACUGAUUGUUGGACUUGAAGUAAUCCCCUAUCACCAAUCUAUCUUCGCAGAUAGAGCAUAUCAACAUCGCUUUUGGGUGGAGGGCAUGGUUGAAUGUCAAGAUCUUUCGGAUCUUUCUAUCUAGGGCUUCAAGUUCAGCUUGGCUCCAAUUGAUUAUUCCAGCUAUGUAUCUGAUUAUAGGAAUUGCUCAUGCAUU